UAUAACUUAUUAACUUAGUAGGUGAGAUUGGAGCAAUUAUGAUUUAAAAAAAGUUAUUUUUAUAAAAUGGUCACUAUAUCCUGACCGUAGUACAUGAAACGGGUAACCU
This is a long non-coding RNA of Sebastes umbrosus (honeycomb rockfish), 109 nucleotides long. RefSeq lists it as uncharacterized. The transcript has 3 exons. NCBI's taxonomy places the organism in Eukaryota, Metazoa, Chordata, Actinopteri, Perciformes, Sebastidae. The record is from RefSeq and is a predicted model, not a curated record.